Bos taurus (domestic cattle) is the source of this 57-nucleotide non-coding RNA. The record is from Rfam. Lineage: Eukaryota; Metazoa; Chordata; Mammalia; Artiodactyla; Bovidae.
UGGCUCAGAUGGUAAAGCGUCUGCCUGCAAUGCAGGAGACCCAGGUUCGAUCCCUGG